GGAGAUGGCCAUAGCUCAGUGUUAGAGCAUUGGCUUUGCAGGCAGAAAAACUCAGCAUCGAUUCCUGGCAUCUCCA
Molecule: non-coding RNA, 76 nt
Organism: Podarcis lilfordi (Lilford's wall lizard)
Lineage: Eukaryota; Metazoa; Chordata; Lepidosauria; Squamata; Lacertidae
Source: the annotation of a GenBank genome assembly